GUGCCGGCUGCUGAUCGAAUGUUUCGUCGGCCACUCGGAAAUCAGCCAACAAAAACCCCUGUGCGUAAGUGUACCAGGAAAAGUGAUCCGUUGUCGAGCAAAAUCCGUGGCCUGAUAGUCCCUACAAGAAGUUUAGUACGGAACUGCUUGUCUGUAGUUUACCGUUUCAGUCCUUGGAUCUUAGAUUCCAAAGGUCUGUUGUGUUUGAGUCUCAUGGAAGUGGAAAGAAAAGCUAUUGGUGAAGGACAGGAGCAGAAGGACCGAAAAGAUGAGCCUACCAACUGCACUCGCUCGUUAGCAAAUCUACAUCUAAGGGGCAGUUCGUAUUCUGCCGGGUUGCUGUUGGAGCGAUGGCUACCGUCAACGACCUUUUCCGGCACGAAACUAUCAUCUGAGUGUACUAGACGACAUGCAAAAUACUAACAAAGUAACUCCUUAGUGAUUUAUCACGAGGAUUUAUCAAGAACAUACCUAAUGGAUACCUUAGCUAAUGGAACUUAAUGGAUACCUUAGCUUCAGCAGGUUCGGCUAAUAUUCAGAUUCCAGAUGCUGCUGAAUUUUUUCAAGUGUUUCAUAAAAUCUCUAACUAUCCUUGAGCUAAAUUCUAUGAUCGGGAUGUUUGCAAAAAAAAAAACUUCGUUAGCAGAAUUGGAGCGCAGAAUAAAGAAUGGCAGGAGUCGAAAAAUAAAGAGAAGGAUAUCGAUGAAGAAAUGGAGUAAGAAUCGAAAAAGAUUGAUUCAACAACUACAUCUGCGGACAAGUGGAUCGACGUUGACUUAAUAGUAGGGUAACGGACUUAUUUUGGACCAGGGGACCUAUUUUGGACCACCUUGUCUAGCUCUCUUAUAAAGCAACUAAUUAUGAAAAAUUUUAGUGCAUUGAAUUGAGUGCCCGAGCUUUAACUAUAUAUGUUUAAAAAAUAUGAUUAGUUGCUCCGUUACCCUAGCGUUGUAGGCUUAAAUUACUUCAUAUCUAUCAAAAGUUAAUUAUGUGCAGCAAUGUGUAUAAUAGUUGCGAAAUCAUAGAAGCUACAAUGGGCAAUGUUAAAUCGUGUCAGGUUGAAGACAUUUGAUUUUAGUAACAUUCUGAUUUAUGUA
Molecule: long non-coding RNA, 1097 nt
Organism: Uranotaenia lowii
Lineage: Eukaryota; Metazoa; Arthropoda; Insecta; Diptera; Culicidae
Exons: 3
Source: RefSeq, a predicted model, not a curated record